GAUGAACGCUAGCGGCAGGCUUAAUACAUGCAAGUCGAGGGGCAGCAGCUUUAUAGCAAUAUAGAGGCUGGCGACCGGCAAACGGGUGCGGAACACGUACACAACCUUCCUUUAAGAGGGGGAUAGCCCAUAGAAAUGUGGAUUAAUACCCCGUAACAUAUCGGUGUGGCAUCACACUGUUAUUAUAGUUUCGACGCUUGAAGAUGGGUGUGCGGCUGAUUAGGUAGUUGGCGGGGUAAAGGCCCACCAAGCCUUCGAUCAGUAGCUGAUGUGAGAGCAUGAUCAGCCACACGGGCACUGAGACACGGGCCCGACUCCUACGGGAGGCAGCAGUAAGGAAUAUUGGUCAAUGGACGCAAGUCUGAACCAGCCAUGCCGCGUGAAGGAUGAAGGUCCUCUGGAUUGUAAACUUCUUUUAUAGGGGGCGAAAAAAGGGAAUUCUUUCUCACUUGACAGUACCCUAUGAAUAAGCACCGGCUAACUCCGUGCCAGCAGCCGCCGCAG
RNAcentral lists this ribosomal RNA (504 nucleotides) under uncultured bacterium. Its description in RNAcentral is "partial 16S ribosomal RNA". It matches the Rfam family "Bacterial small subunit ribosomal RNA", at positions 28 to 523 of the family's 1533-position model. The record is from RNAcentral.